RNAcentral lists this ribosomal RNA (497 nucleotides) under uncultured bacterium. Its description in RNAcentral is "partial 16S ribosomal RNA". It matches the Rfam family "Bacterial small subunit ribosomal RNA", at positions 28 to 507 of the family's 1533-position model. The record is from RNAcentral.
GAUGAACGCUGGCGGCGUGCCUAAUACAUGCAAGUCGAGCGAACAGACGAGGAGCUUGCUCCUCUGACGUUAGCGGCGGACGGGUGAGUAACACGUGGAAACCCCCCUUUAAAUACUGGGAUAAUUAGGGGAAACGGGCUCAAAUCCGGUAUAAGAUCCUGAUCCGCUGGGUUCAUUGGUAAAGUUCGGUUUUGCGGUAUCUACUAGAGGCAUCUCCGUCGCUUUAGUUAGUUGUUAAGGUAACGGCUUACCAAGGCAAGGAUGCGUAGCCGACCUGAGAGGGUGAUCGGCCACACUGGAACUGAGACACGGUCCAGACUCCUACGGGAGGCAGCAGUAGGGAAUCUUCCGCAAUGGGCGAAAGCCUGACGGAGCAACGCCGCGUGAGUGAAGAAGGUCUUCGGAUCGUAAAACUCUGUUAUUAGGGAAGAACAAAUGUGUAAGUAACUAUGCACGUCUUGACGGUACCUAAUCAGAAAGCCACGGCUAACUACGUG